Molecule: ribosomal RNA, 1362 nt
Filed under: Byssoloma subdiscordans
Lineage: Eukaryota; Fungi; Ascomycota; Lecanoromycetes; Lecanorales; Pilocarpaceae
Description: eukaryotic LSU rRNA
Rfam family: Eukaryotic large subunit ribosomal RNA
Source: RNAcentral
UAACGGCGAGUGAAGCGGCAACAGCUCAAAUUUGAAAUCUGGCUUCUUAGGGGCCCGAGUUGUAAUUUGUAGAGGGUGUUUCGGGUGCGGUACCGGUUUAAGUCCCUUGGAACAGGGCGUCGCAGAGGGUGAGAAUCCCGUAUGUGACCGGCGACCAACCUCAUGUGAAACCCCUUCGACGAGUCGAGUUGUUUGGGAAUGCAGCUCUAAAUGGGUGGUAAAUUCCAUCUAAAGCUAAAUACCGGCCAGAGACCGAUAGCGCACAAGUAGAGUGAUCGAAAGAUGAAAAGCACUUUGGAAAGAGAGUCAAAAAGUACGUGAAAUUGUUGAAAGGGAAGCGCUUGCGACCAGACCUGCGCGGGGACGAUCAACGGCCGUUUUCGGCCGUGCACUCGUCUUCGAUCAGGCCAGCAUCGGUUCGGGCGGUCGGACAAAGGCCUUGGGAAUGUAGCUCCCCACGGGGAGUGUUAUAGCCCUCGGUGCAAUGCGGCCAGCCUGGACCGAGGACCGCGCUUCGGCAAGGAUGCUGGCGUAAUGGUCGUCAGCGACCCGUCUUGAAACACGGACCAAGGAGUCUAACAUCUGUGCGAGUUUUCGGGUGUCAAACCCCUAAGCGUAAUGAAAGUGAACGGAGGUGGGAGCCCUUAAGGGUGCACCAUCGACCGAUCCAGAUGUCUUCGGAUGGAUUUGAGUAUGAGCAUAGCUGUUGGGACCCGAAAGAUGGUGAACUAUGCCUGAAUAGGGUGAAGCCAGAGGAAACUCUGGUGGAGGCUCGCAGCGGUUCUGACGUGCAAAUCGAUCGUCAAAUUUGGGUAUAGGGGCGAAAGACUAAUCGAACCAUCUAGUAGCUGGUUCCUGUCGAAGUUUCCCUCAGGAUAGCAGUAACGUCUUCAGUUUUAUGAGGUAAAGCGAAUGAUUAGAGGCCUUGGGGUUGAAACAACCUUAACCUAUUCUCAAACUUUAAAUAUGUAAGAAGUCCUUGUUACUUAAUUGAACGUGGACAUUUGAAUGUACCGUUACUAGUGGGCCAUUUUUGGUAAGCAGAACUGGCGAUGCGGGAUGAACCGAACGUGAGGUUAAGGUGCCGGAAUGCACGCUCAUCAGACACCACAAAAAGUGUUGAUUCAUCUAGACAGCCGGACGGUGGCCAUGGAAGUCGGAAACCGCUAAGGAGUGUGUGUAAGUAGAGAAUUAAUCCCCCCCAAUCCCCCGAGAGAGGAGUCAAUUGCUAACAUGAGUCUUUAGAACAACUCACCGGCCGAAUGAAUCAGCCUUGAAAAUGGAUGGCGCUCAAGCGUGUUACCCAUACCUCGCCGCCAGGGUAGAAUUGAUGCCCUGGCGAGUAGGCAGGCGGGAGGUCAG